Molecule: RNA transcript, 2630 nt
Organism: Papaver somniferum (opium poppy)
Lineage: Eukaryota; Viridiplantae; Streptophyta; Magnoliopsida; Ranunculales; Papaveraceae
Exons: 12
Source: RefSeq, a predicted model, not a curated record
AGCGGACCAACGCCCAAAUUUUUCCACAACCCUUCUUCUUUUUUCUGGCAGAGACAGAGAAGAAGAUCAAGGGAAAAUGGCAUUAACAGGUGUGAAGAUGUGCGAGGAUGUAUGGUUAACAUGUCUAACUCAUGCAUUGUCUACAGAAACAGAAGAGAUCAUGGGUCUUCUUCUUGGAGAUAUUCAUUACUCAAAGAAUGGGAGUGCCACUGCAUUGAUUUGGGGAGCAGCACCUCAGACAAGGUCUGAUCGUCGCAAGGAUCGAGUGGAGACAAAUCCGGAGCAGUUGGCAGCAGCAUCAGCUCAAGCUGAAAGAAUGACAUUGACGACCGGAAGGACUACAAGAGUAAUUGGUUGGUACCAUUCUCACCCGCAUAUCACAGUUCUACCAUCUCAUGUUGAUGUUCGAACGCAGGGUAUGUAUCAAAUGCUAGAUACUGGGUUCACUGGACUGAUUUUCUCUUGUUUCAAUGAGGAUGCACAAAAGACUGGAAGAAUCCAGGUUAUCGCGUUCCAAUCUUUAGAUGGGAAGCUGAAAUAUAUGGCAACACCAGUUUCUGUAGUCCCUGUCAAUAGCACUCCAGUUAUAGAAGUUGAAUCAUCUUUGAGUACUUCAGAAAAUGUGUUACCAAGAUCUGCCUCUGGAAGGCCAGAAAUAUCUGAGCGCGACACAGCAAGUUCAGGAACAACUAAGGCUUCGGGUAAAGCUCCAAACUUGGAGGGAUUUUUCGCUCAUGCGGAUCAUCCAGGGAGAGAUAAAAUGGGAGGAGGAAGCCAUCAGAUGGACGAAUUACAAGAUGCCAUCGUUGAUUUAGAUCCUAUGGAUAUUAAUGAAAGUAUGCAAGAGGCACUGCACCGUUCAACUAUGGAAUUGAGUGGUGCAGAGUAUGUUAGGAAGGAGGUUCCUCUAUUAGUUCUACCCACAUCAGCAUUGUUAAAGCUCGAAUCACCUUUAACAUCAUUUACUGACUUGCAACGCGUAUUAUAUGAAGAAGAGAAAGCAGCAUAUAAGCAAGCCGUUUUACAGAAUAUGCAGGAUGGGAAAGUACACCCCCUUGCAUUCAUCCAUCAUACCUCAACAUAUCAAACCUCCAUGUGCAAGUUGAUGGAAUAUUGUUUAAGCCCUUCGAUAAGUGCACUUCAGGACCGUUUAAGAGAAAAUGAGAUUCGGUUGAAGAUGCUAACAGAGGAAGCCAAGGCCUUGGAGAUUGAAUCUACCAGAGGCAGUGAUUCAAGUAUGAUGAGUUCUCCACGUGGUUCUCCUAGCCAUGGUCUCCGAGGCAAUGCAGCUAUGGGGCAGAGAGACUUAUAUCCUCCAGUAGAGUCAGUUGGUGUUAGAAGUCCUUCUGGUAUUGGUAGCCGGAGCAGAAGAUCUUAAAAUUGUACAGCUUCAUCGCUGCAUCCUGCAUCACUCUCUGUGUAUGAUUGGAGCAGAAUACACACUUUGAACUUCCAGUUUACAACCACUGUAAAAAAUGAGAGGAGAAACUGCAAAACCGUAUGAAAAAGUUAGGAAAUUUGGAUUGGACUACUGGUGAGUAUACACUUUCAUCUUUCAUGAAAGGAGAAGAUAUCUGACAGUAAAAUGGGUCGAUGGAUAAUUGAGAUGUGCAUUAAUGGAGUAGGAAGUAUCUCUGAGCAAAGAGUAAUGGGAUAUUGAGUUUUCCAAAAUAUUUGUUUUUCUCUGCAAAAAAAUACUGCAAUUUUUUGCUGGGUUCUGGUUCCUGAAAUUGCAACCAAAAGGGAGAAGUAUAAAGGAUCUUGCAGGCAAAAGUUAAGAAAAGCAUAAAGAAGGAAAGUCCAUAUAUAAAUAAUAUCAGUGGAUGUGUUUCUUCUCUGUCUGAAUAAUCCAAAUGUUCUUGGUGGAAGUGGGAAUGGAUUCUGUAUGAUCUUUUGCCCACUUCCAAUUCUCCCAUACUUUCUGUUCUUCUAUAUCUACAUGAGUAUAAAGAUAUAUGUUACAGUUUUCCUUGUCCGGGGAAGCCAGUGCAAACUUUGAACCAUGCUCUAUGUUAAAGUCUGAACCUGCAUUGCUGGAUGCAGUGUGCUUUUGGGUGGCCAUGAUCUCCACAGUGCUCGGUACGUACGGAUGAUGUGAUCGGUCAAUCGUUUAAUUUUUAUGGGGUCCCUUAGUUUGAUUUGGUGUAUCUCUAGAGAAUCAGUGUCUGAGACUCUGUAGGGGUGUCCAUAACAUCUUGUUACAUGUUUUAUCAUCUAAACUUUCAUAACAUGGCGUAAGAUCUUUUAGACACACCAUUAGAGAUGCUCUGAGUUGAUUAUGGUCUUCAUUUGAGCCGAUUUUCAAAUACGUAGGCGAUAAAGAUGGCUACAUGGUCCCGAAUCCACUUUAAAGGCGGUCAAGAUUCGCAUACGCCUCGUUAACGUGAAAUGAUCGAGCCGUGAGAACGAACCUACGGGGCUAUGGCCUUGGUUGUCUGGAUAUUGCAAGCUUUUCCUAAUUACUACUUUGAAAUCUUUGAUUUUUUAAUGCUACAAAUACUUAAGUCGGACCCAAAUACAGGUUGCUAAGUUGCAAAGAUUUUGGUCCCAUUCCUAUGGGGAUAUGUUCACAUGAAUAAUAAGUAUGUCAUAAUAGAGCAGUAUAAAUGGAAGUGGUUCAAUCUUUUGAA